GAGUUAGCCGAGGCUUAUUCGUCAGGUACCGUCAGAUCUUCUUCCCUGACAAAAGAGGUUUACAACCCAAAAGCCUUCCUCCCUCACGCGGUCUUGCUCCGUCAGGCUUUCGCCCAUUGCGGAAAAUUCCCCA
This 133-nucleotide ribosomal RNA is filed under the name uncultured bacterium. RNAcentral's name for it is "partial 16S ribosomal RNA". The record is from RNAcentral.